GUACACUCCUGCGGGAGGCAGCAGUGGGGAAUUUUGGACAAUGGGCGAAAGCCUGAUCCAGCAAUGCCGCGUGAGUGAAGAAGGCCUUCGGGUUGUAAAGCUCUUUUGUCAGGGAAGAAACGGUGAAAGCUAAUAUCUUUUGCUAAUGACGGUACCUGAAGAAUAAGCACCGGCUAACUACGUGCCAGCAGCCGCGGUAAUACGUAGGGUGCAAGCGUUAAUCGGAAUUACUGGGCGUAAAGCGUGCGCAGGCGGUUUUGUAAGUCUGAUGUGAAAUCCCCGGGCUCAACCUGGGAAUUGCAUUGGAGACUGCAAGGCUAGAAUCUGGCAGAGGGGGGUAGAAUUCCACGUGUAGCAGUGAAAUGCGUAGAUAUGUGGAGGAACACCGAUGGCGAAGGCAGCCCCCUGGGUCAAGAUUGACGCUCAUGCACGAAAGCGUGGGGAGCAAACAGGAUUAGAUACCCUUGUAGUCC
This 473-nucleotide ribosomal RNA is filed under the name uncultured organism. RNAcentral describes it as "partial 16S ribosomal RNA". It matches the Rfam family "Bacterial small subunit ribosomal RNA", at positions 331 to 796 of the family's 1533-position model. The record is from RNAcentral.